CCUACGGGAGGCAGCAGUGGGGAAUAUUGGGCAAUGGGCGAAAGCCUGACCCAGCAACGCCGCGUGAAGGAAGAAGGCUUUCGGGUUGUAAACUUCUUUUGACAGGGAAGAGCAGAAGACGGUACCUGUCGAAUAAGCCACGGCUAACUACGUGACAGCAGCCGCGGUAAGACGUAGGUGGCAAGCGUUGUCCGGAUUUACUGGGUGUAAGGGGCGUGUAGCCGGGCUGACAAGUCAGAUGUGAAAUCCGGGGGCUAAACCCCCGAACUGCAUUUGAAACGGUUGGUCUUGAGUAUCGGAGAGGCAGGCGGAAUUCCGAGUGUAGCGGUGAAAUGCGUAGAUAUUAGGAGGAACACCAGUGGCGAAGGCAGCCUGCGGGACGACAACUGACGGUGAGGCGCGAAAGCGUGGGGAGCAAACAGGAUUAGAUACCCUGUAGUC
Molecule: ribosomal RNA, 441 nt
Filed under: uncultured bacterium
Lineage: Bacteria
Description: partial 16S ribosomal RNA
Rfam family: Bacterial small subunit ribosomal RNA
Source: RNAcentral